AUACGGAGGGUGCGAGCGUUAAUCGGAAUUACUGGGCGUAAAGCGUGCGUAAGCGGUUUGCUAAGUCAGAUGUGAAAGCCCCGGGCUUAACCUGGGAACUGCAUUUGAUACUGGCAGACUAGAGUAUGAUAGAGGGGGGUAGAAUUCCUGGUGUAGCGGUGAAAUGCGUAGAUAUCAGGAGGAAUACCAGUGGCGAAGGCGGCCCCCUGGAUCAAUACUGACGCUGAGGUACGAAAGCGUGGGGAGCGAACAGGAUUAGAAACCCUAGUAGUCC
RNAcentral lists this ribosomal RNA (274 nucleotides) under uncultured bacterium. RNAcentral's name for it is "partial 16S ribosomal RNA". It matches the Rfam family "Bacterial small subunit ribosomal RNA", at positions 523 to 796 of the family's 1533-position model. The record is from RNAcentral.